This 497-nucleotide long non-coding RNA is filed under the name Eucalyptus grandis. Its description in RNAcentral is "long non-coding RNA (EGRA_LNC000364)". The record is from RNAcentral. Lineage: Eukaryota; Viridiplantae; Streptophyta; Magnoliopsida; Myrtales; Myrtaceae.
CGCGGGCGGCUGCCGCCGAACUGCGCCGGAGCGGCGCAUUUCACGACCCCGCCGCCCCGCCGCUGGUGAGCCUGACGACCUCCGCGGCGGCCUGAGCGGCGGCGAGGGCGGCCUCGGCGACGGCGGCGGUGGCGGCGGCGACCGCGAUGGCGUGCUUGCUGGCGUCCAAGUCGCCGGGGCCGAGAGACGGGUAGUGGCGAGGGGCGCUGGGGAGGGCUAGGCGGCUCCUGUCGUUGAGCGAUCUGACGAAGCUCCAGCGCCGGCGGGGGCGCUUGUCCCUGGAGCCGCCGCCGCCGCCGCCGAAGAGUCGUCGGAAGAAGCCCAUGCUAUCAUCUCACUGACGUGGGUUCCGUGGAGUCAAGUACAGGGAGUUGAAAAAACGCGAGCUUUUUGCCUUCUUUUGGAGGUGCCUUAAUGGCAGCAAGUGGUGGGAGUAUAGAGAGAGAAAGCGAGCGAACCAGAGAGGAAAUAAAUAGGGAAAGAGAGAGAGAGAGAGA